This 708-nucleotide ribosomal RNA is filed under the name uncultured Vibrionaceae bacterium. Its description in RNAcentral is "bacterial SSU rRNA". It matches the Rfam family "Bacterial small subunit ribosomal RNA", at positions 1 to 671 of the family's 1533-position model. Lineage: Bacteria; Pseudomonadati; Pseudomonadota; Gammaproteobacteria; Vibrionales; Vibrionaceae. The record is from RNAcentral.
CGCGGGAUUAGAGUUUGAUCAUGGCUCAGAUUGAACGCUGGCGGCAGGCCUAACACAUGCAAGUCGAGCGGAAACGAGUUAUCUGAACCUUCGGGGAACGAUAACGGCGUCGAGCGGCGGACGGGUGAGUAAUGCCUAGGAAAUUGCCCUGAUGUGGGGGAUAACCAUUGGAAACGAUGGCUAAUACCGCAUAAUGUCGUUUUCUAUAAACGAAGGGGACCAAAGAGGGGGACCGCAAGGCCUCUCGCGUCAGGAUAUGCCUAGGUGGGAUUAGCUAGUUGGUGAGGUAAAGGCUCACCAAGGCGACGAUCCCUAGCUGGUCUGAGAGGAUGAUCAGCCACACUGAAACUGAGACACGGUCCAGACUCCUACGGGAGGCAGCAGUGGGGAAUAUUGCACAACGGGCGCAAGCCUGAUGCAGCCAUGCCGUGUGUGUGAAGAAGGCCUUCGGGUUGUAAAGCACUUUCAGUCGUGAGGAAGGCAGUAUAGUUAAUAGCUGUAUUGUUUGACGUUAGCGACAGAAGAAGCACCGGUUAACUCCGUGCCAGCAGCCGCGGUAAUACGGAGGGUGCGAGCGUUAAUCGGAAUUACUGGGCGUAAAGCGCAUGCAGGUGGUUUGUUAGGUCAGAUGUGAAAGCCCGGGGCUCAACCUCGGAAUAGCAUUUGAAACUAGCAAACUAGAGUACUGUAGAGGGGGGUAGAAUUUCA